GAUCAUGGCUCAGGAUGAACGCUAGCUACAGGCUUAACACAUGCAGGUCGAGGGGCAGCAUCAUCAAAGCUUGCUUUGAUGGAUGGCGACCGGCGCGCGGGUGAGUAACACGUAUCCAACCUGCCGACAACACUGGGAUAGCCUUUCGAAAGAAAGAUUAAUACCGGAUGGUAUAGUUUUCCCGCAUGGGGUGACUAUUAAAGAAUUUCGGUUGUCGAUGGGGAUGCGUUCCAUUAGG
This 238-nucleotide ribosomal RNA is filed under the name uncultured bacterium. Its description in RNAcentral is "partial 16S ribosomal RNA". It matches the Rfam family "Bacterial small subunit ribosomal RNA", at positions 15 to 245 of the family's 1533-position model. The record is from RNAcentral.